Molecule: RNA transcript, 5006 nt
Organism: Pseudonaja textilis
Lineage: Eukaryota; Metazoa; Chordata; Lepidosauria; Squamata; Elapidae
Gene: PAXIP1
Gene name: PAX interacting protein 1
Source: RefSeq, a predicted model, not a curated record
GUUUCUGAAUCAUUGCGCUCGGAAGCCGAAGCACUGCGUCGCCGGACGGGAUCAUGGCGAGGGAGGAAGACAAGGGUGAGAUGAAGGUCCCCGAGGAGAUGUUCAAGGAUGUCAAGUUCUUCGUGGUGGGAGACAUCGAUUCCAAGGUUAUUCAACUUCUGAAAGAUGGGAAAGCAAAGGAAGUUUCCUAUAAUGCUCUAGCUUCACACAUCAUUUCAGAAGAUGGGGAUAAUCCAGAAGUUGGUGAAUCUCGUGAAGUGUUUGAUCUUCCAGUAGUAAAACCUUCCUGGGUGACUUUGUCUGUUCAGUGUGGAGCUCUUCUUCCAGUAAAUGGCUUUUCCCCAGAAUCCUGUCAGAUCUUUUUUGGAGUUGCCGCUUGUCUGUCUCAGGUUUCCUCUGAAGACCGGAAUAUAUUGUGGGCUUUGAUUACAUUUUAUGGUGGGGAUUGCCGUUUGAGCCUCAAUAAAAAAUGUACUCAUUUGAUUGUGCCUGAGCCAAAAGGGGAAAAAUACGAAUGUGCUAAUAAACGAGAGAACAUUAAAAUCGUGACACCUGACUGGAUUCUAGAUUCUAUAUCUGAUAAAACCAAAAAAGAUGAGGCUCCCUAUCACCCCCGUUUAAUAAUAUAUGAGGAAGAAGAAGAGGAGGAGGAGGAGGAAGAAAAUGAAGAACAGGAUUCCCAAAAUGAAGGGAGUACUGAUGAAAAGUUAUCAAGUCCACUAUCUUCUCAAGAAGGAUCUCCUUUGGGCAAUCGAACUUUUUCUCCUAAGUCUAUUGAUGCUGACAAAAACAAAGGAGAACUUAUGUUUGACGACUCAUCAGAUUCCUCUCCUGAAAAGCAUGAAAGAAAUUUGAACUGGACCACAGCUGAAGUUCCACAGACUGUUGCCAGAAAACACACAUUGACUCCAGGCAAGGAUUCUGGAUUGAUUAAUUUGUGUGCCAAUGUCCCACCUGUCCCAGGCAAUAUUUUGUCCCCUGAUAUCAGAAGUAAUAUAAUGGCUUCAGUACAAACUCCGCAAAGUUCUGGACAUCCUGAAAUGAUGGCAGCAUGGAGUCCUGCAGUCCGGACACUAAGAAAUAUUACCAAUAAUGCUGAUAUUCAGCAGGUUAAUAGGCAAUCAAAUGUAGCACAUAUCUUGCAGUCACUUUCAGCACCCACAAAAACUUUGGAGCCACAGGUAAACCACAGUCAGCAGGGGCAUCCCAAUGCAGUCUUGCUUAGCCAGGUCAAACUGGCCCCAGAAACACGCUUAGUGCAGCCGCCUCCGUCUCAGCAUCACCAGCCUCAGCAGCAGCAGCAGCAGCAGCAGCAGCAGCAUCACCAUCUCUUGCACCUCCAAGCCCAGCAGCUCCUGCAGUUGCAGCAACAGUCCCAGCCGCCACAGGCUCAGAUUCCCCAACCACCUUUCCCACAGCAGCCACAUCAGUUUGCACAACAGCAGCAAGUCCAUCAGCACCAGUUUCCUCAGCAGCAGCAGCAACAGCAGCCGCCGCAGCAGCAGCUGCCCUUCCCUUCCCAACUGAUACACUCCCAGCAACAAAUGCAUCGCCCCCCACAGCCCAUGCCGUUUCAGCAGCAGCAGCAGCAAUUGCAUCGGUUGCAACAGCAGCACCUGCAGCGGCAGCAGCAAAUGCAGCUUCAGCAACAAAACCUUCAGCAGUUUCAGCACCAGCAGCAGCAACAACUUCAGCAGCAACAACUCCAACAGCAGCACUUACAACAAAUGCAGCAGCAGCAGCAGCAACAACAACAACAAAUGCAAAAUCAGGCAUCACAACACUUGACUCCAACAUCUCAGACGCUACACCAUCAAGUUCCAAUUCAGGCACCACAGAAUCAUCAGCAGCAACAACUGCAGCAGCAUCAACUGUUUGGACAUGACCCAUCUAUAGAAGUUCCUGAAGGUUAUUUUUUAAUGGGUUGUAUCUUUGCAAUUGCUGAUUACCCUGAACAGAUGUCUAAUAAACAACUGUUGGCAACUUGGAAAAGGGUAAUCCAGUCUUAUGGUGGUACAGUUGAUCCUACACUUACAAACCGAUGUACACAUCUUCUUUGUGAAAGUCAGCUUAGUAAUAUGUAUGCACAGGCUUCGAAAGAAAGGAAAAGAUGUAUCACUGCCCACUGGUUGAGUUCUGUGCUAAGAAAGAAGAAAAUGGUACCACCCCAUCGAGCUCUUCAUUUUCCUGUAGCAUUUCCACCCGGAGGAAAACCAUGUUCUCAGCAUAUAAUUACUGUAACAGGUUUUGUGGAUGGUGACAGAAUCGAUCUCAAGUUGAUGGCCAACCUAGCAGGAGCAAAAUACACAGGCUAUCUUUGUCGCAGUAAUACCAUUCUUAUCUGUAAAGCGCCAACUGGCUUAAAGUAUGAAAAGGCUAAAGAGUGGAGGAUACCUUGUGUUAAUGUACAAUGGCUCUGUGAUAUUUUACUUGGAAACUUUGAAGCUUUGCGCCAAAUGCAACACAAUCGAUACACAGUUUUCAAUCUUCAAGAACCCUUUGCUCCUAAUCAGCAUCUAGUUCAAAAUCUUCUUGAUGCUUGGAGGGUCCCUUUAAAGGUGCCACCUGAAUUUCAAAUGAACAUGAGAUUACCACUUAAACCAAAGCAGAAUGAACCAGUAAUUCAACCUUCAAUCAAGAGGCCAAGAAUUGAAGACUUUCCAACACCUAUAAAAAAACUCCCAACAGAAUUGACACCAGUGGUUCUUUUUACAGGAUUUGAGCCAGCUCAAGUGCAUCACUACAUAAAGAAAGUCUAUAUUCUUGGAGGUAACAUAACAGAGUCUGCUCAGAAGUGUACUCAUGUGAUAGCUAGUAAAGUAACCCGCACUGUAAAAUUCCUGACAGCAGUUUCAGUUGCAAAACAUAUUGUAAUUCCGGAAUGGUUGGAGGAAUGUUUCAAGAGUCAGAAAUUUAUAGAAGAACAAAACUACAUACUCCGAGAUGCAGAGGCUGAAGUCCUUUUCUCUUUCAGUUUGGAAGAAUCUCUAAAGAGAGCGCAAGCGACACCACUCUUUAAGGGGAAAUAUUUCUAUAUUACUCCUGGAAUUUCUCCUAGCCUACAUAUUAUGAAAUCAAUUGUGGAAUCUGCAGGUGGGAAGUUAUUAUCUAGACAACCUUCUUUCAGAACAGUUAUGGAACAUAAACAAAAUAAGAGCUUGUCAGAGAUUAUCCUUAUCGCUUGUGAAAAUGAUCUACACUUAUGUCGAGAAUACUUUACCAGAAACAUAGGGCAGCAAGAACAGAUAGGAUUGGCAGCCUGCAUAACAAUUGACCAUUGGGAUGAUUUUUAAAAUAUUGCUGAAAAAAAAUCCUGAUACAAAAAUAAUAUUACAGUAUAUGCUGACAGUAUUUGCAUUUCAGUCUUACUUUGGCAAAUUCCUUCUGGCCAGAUAAUGUACAGAUGUCCACAGUGCAGAAUUUGUUCUGACUGGAGUCCUUACUCAAACACUGGAUUAUGAUUCAUAUAAAUUUACUUGACUCUAAGUAAAAUGCCUUAUUUUGCUUCAAAUUCCUUGAAGCCUUCCCCUGAGCUUUUCCAGCCUGUGGAUUAUUUAAUCAGGACUUCAUUGAAUUCUUGGUUUCUCUUGUUUUGCUGAAGAGCGAAGAACAGUUGAAGCAGGAAAGGAAAAUCUUACUGCAUCUGUUUAGGAUGUGUCACCUUUUGUUAUUAAGCUAGCCAUUUUUAUACUAUACUGUAGACCAGAGAAAUUACUUUUUAUAUUGCAAAAUAGUUUUCCGGUUUUAAGUUUUAAUAAUCGGCAAUAUUCAACCAAAAUCAUAAUUAAAAUUUAAAGGAAGAAGAGCUUAUGGCAUGUUUACAUUAAGGAAGCAAAUAUUUUGUACUUUAUUUUAUUAUGCUGUUUUAUUAGUACUAUCCCAUGUUUUAAAUAAACAUAGUUUUAAAUGAUGUUUCCUUAAAAUUUAGUGGUUUUUAUUUUUGAAAUGUUGUGCAAUUAUAACACUUUCUGGUAAGAGUAAACACUGUUCUCUCAAGUAGUAUAAGAUAUUCUUUCUUUCAUUUGUUUUACCAGAUGUGUUUGAAUAUUAAAGUCCGGGUAUUUUAAGCAGAAUUUAUUAAUGUUAUGUGUGUUCCUGCUGCAGUUAGAUUGAAUUCACUCAUAUUCUGCAGUGAUAUACUUUAUUUGUAAUUUUUAUGGAACAAAUACGCAAAAUAGAAUUCAUGGAGGAAGUUAUUUCAUUCAAGUUUAACUUGUCUUAAAAUGUUAUGUUAAUCUAGUGUUAAUUUAAUCCAUUCAAUUUUAAAUUGGGUAUUCGUCAUUUUAGGAGUAAUUCAGAUGUAACUAUUUCAGCAAGUUUGCAUAAGUUCCAGUUAGCUUGCAGUUUUAUCCAAUUCUAAAGACUUUUGUUGAAUAGAUAAAAUGUUAAAAUCAUUUCUAUGUGUUUGGUUUUCUUUUUAAAAUACUUUUUCAUGUUUGUAACUAUGGUAACACUUGAGUCCUUCUAUUGACUCUUUGAAUUGACAAUAGAUUUCCCAUAAUUGUAAGAAAUUUGGUGCCUUGGGUUUGAAAGUAUGAAAAAGUACUAGCAAUUUACAUAGACUGAAAUAAAGAUACAUUUCUGAAUGUGGCUCUUAGAAAAGAGCCAUGUAUGGCACCAUGUCUUCACACAGAAAAUCUACCAAAACAUUUGAAGUAGGGUGCCUGGUUGAACCUGAUAGGAAUGAUUUAACAAUUUACCCUUAACUUACUGAACACCGCCAUGUAGUUUUGAAGACAGUGCAUUAAUUUCCAUCAGUUAAGUUAGGUAACUUCUCUUCAUACAUGUUUUCAAGGAACUGACAGUGCCAAAUUACAACAAUAUCUUUGGUCACGUGUGUGUGUGUGUGUGUGUGUGUUAAGUUUAAUUGUUGACCCAUGGCGGCCAAUCAAAUGGGGCUUUUAAAAGGUGGCGGGCUUUACAACUCUUUAGGUUGAAAUGAAUGGGCAAACCCCAUUCAUUCACCCCUCUCAAGAUUGGCGGCUGAUUUGCAAGCUAAACAUACA